Molecule: long non-coding RNA, 609 nt
Filed under: Equus caballus (horse)
Lineage: Eukaryota; Metazoa; Chordata; Mammalia; Perissodactyla; Equidae
Description: lncRNA (ENSECAG00000048083.1)
Source: RNAcentral
CUCGUUAUGGACUGAAAGUUUUGUGUCCCCCUCAAAUUCAUUUGUUGAAGACCUAAGCCCCAGUGUGAUGCUACAGAUGGAGCCUUUGGGAGGUAAUUAGCAUUUGAUUAGGUUAUGAGGGUGGGGCCCUCAUGAUGGGAUGAGUGCCCUUAGACAAAGAGACACAGGGGAGCUUGUUUUCUCUCUCCUUGAGUGCCCACAAAGGUGACGUCCUAUGAGCACAAAGGGAGAUGGUGACUGCCUACAAGCCAAGAGAAGAGGUCUCAGAAUGAAACGUCUCACUGGCAUCUUGAUCUUGGACGUUCCAGUCUCCAGAACUUAGAGAAGAAAAUCAACAGAAGCGAAGUUGACAGCAAAGAAAACAUUUCUGCCUAUGACAAUGUGUCUGGAACCUGAAGCAUUGACCUUGAAGCACUGGUCUAUUCAUUUGUGGAUGGUUUAAUCAAUGGAUCCUUUUAACAGCUGCGUCAUUUCUCAUUGAAAGAAAGGCCUGUGGACAUGGCCUAAGGGGUGGACUAUGGCAGCCAUGAGAUGUGCUUCACAGACUUCAGCUUCAGGGAGUGUGAGUAAUGAUGUCAAGCACCUUUUCUUGUUUAUUGGCCAUUUAUG